CCUGGAACUAUAUGUAAGGGCACUCUCAUCCACUGGCUGAAAGGAAACAACUGGAUUGGCUUUUCUAACUCUCUUUAAAAGAGACUGCUUUCAAAUUCACUUGCCCUAGAACCUGCUUUUUAUUGAUAUUGAUCUAGAAUCAGCUAUUCCUAGUUUUUUUUAUUAUUCCUAGCCAGAGAAAUUAAACUAAUCUCGAGAUCCAGAAACCUAUCUAUACGCCUAGCCUUAAGCAAAAGAAAUCUCGUUAGCCCUACCAUAGAAACUAUUACCUCGACUUGGAUUGAAAGGAAGAACUUAGGACUUUGGGACUUACCCUAGGACGUAAACCCCUAGCAUUCCAAUUGAAACUCAAGGAGAUGGAACUAAACAGGCUUAGGCCCUUUUCCUCUUUCAAGGGGACUAGAGGGAAUGCAACUACUGAGACAGCAACUCAAACAAAAUC
This 442-nucleotide long non-coding RNA is filed under the name Nicotiana benthamiana. RNAcentral's name for it is "long non-coding RNA (NBEN_LNC031486)". Lineage: Eukaryota; Viridiplantae; Streptophyta; Magnoliopsida; Solanales; Solanaceae. The record is from RNAcentral.